UACAGAGGUCCCAAGCGUUGUUCGGAUUCACUGGGCGUAAAGGGUGCGUAGGCGGUCGGGUAAGUCUGGUGUGAAAUCCCGCAGCUCAACUGCGGAAUGGCACUGGAUACUAUUCGGCUGGAGGGUUGGGGGGGGACUGGAAUUCUCGGUGUAGCAGUGAAAUGCGUAGAUAUCGAGAGGAACACCAGUGGCGAAGGCGAGUCCCUGGACAACUCCUGACGCUGGGGCACGAAAGCUAGGGGAGCAAACAGG
This 252-nucleotide ribosomal RNA is filed under the name uncultured prokaryote. RNAcentral describes it as "partial 16S ribosomal RNA". It matches the Rfam family "Bacterial small subunit ribosomal RNA", at positions 524 to 776 of the family's 1533-position model. The record is from RNAcentral.